Xylariomycetidae sp. FL0641 is the source of this 103-nucleotide non-coding RNA. The record is from the annotation of a GenBank genome assembly. Lineage: Eukaryota; Fungi; Ascomycota; Sordariomycetes.
GCAAGUUUGGCCGAGUGGUUAAGGCGUCGUGUUUAGGCUCGCUUAGGUGAACCAGUAACAACCGCGAUGGGAAACCGCGCAGGUUCGAAUCCUGCAGCUUGCA